Molecule: transfer RNA, 67 nt
Filed under: Stathmonotus gymnodermis
Lineage: Eukaryota; Metazoa; Chordata; Actinopteri; Blenniiformes; Labrisomidae
Description: tRNA-Cys
Source: RNAcentral
AGCCUUGAGGUGUCCGACAUAUUAGGUUGCAAACCUGAAGUUGCAGACGAAAAAUCUGCCGGGGCUU